This 1251-nucleotide long non-coding RNA is filed under the name Mus musculus (house mouse). Its description in RNAcentral is "long non-coding RNA chr5:71895262-71896513". Lineage: Eukaryota; Metazoa; Chordata; Mammalia; Rodentia; Muridae. The record is from RNAcentral.
ACACACACACACACAUCUUAUUUGAGUUUGCCUGCCAUACUUUGGUUAAUUUUUGGUAAUUUCAUGUUUAAUAUAGGAUAGCCACAGAAUAUCUUCCAGGCCUGUCAAUGUAGGGCCUAUGUGUCAUUUCCUCCAAAAAUUUUUGACCUUUUCUUAUCCUACUAAGCUCCCUGUAGAUUUUUCUUAAUUGUUGCCUGAAACUCUGGAAAUACUAAUACCUUUCUGUCUGUCUAUAGCAUAUUGAAUCCUUGUUAAUGUUGUUAUGUGUAAAUGAGGUCAAAAUUAUCACCUACACAACUCAGAUAGGUCACAUUUGCCGUUUUAAUCUGUUCUACUUUCAACCCUGUUGAUUUUGCACUCAAACAGACAUUACUGUGGACAUUCAAUGUCAUUAACUUACAAUUUUAUCCAUAUGGAAAUCAUGCCAUCAAAACUAUUUGUAUUCUAUUUAUCUGCCUUUAUUAGUUUAAUCUCUUUAAGUCACCAUAAUCCUCUAGUGGAAGUUUGACCCAACAGGUCAUGAUUUUUCCCCUCACUUUGUAGCCAUGUCUGGCCUGGAACUUGCACAGUUCUUUCUGCCUCUACCUCCCAAGAUCUGGAAUUCAAAGUCUGGGCCACCACUCUAAGCUUUCAACUUUUAAUCUUUUCUCUUAAUCAAUAGAAAUGCCAUAUAUUAAUAUAGCUCUCACCCUUCAUUCUGAGCAUGCAUUAUGUUUAAAAGACUAGAGUCCACACUCAGUCACUCUAGCAAACUGUUUCUUUUGUCUUCGGUUUUAGGUAUUAGAAAAAUAGUGGAGACAAUUAUCUUCCAACCUUUACCCUUUCCGUUUUAAUAUCUGUAUACCCAUCAUCUGGACAGGCAGUAGAAAUCGUACCACUGCUGCAUGUUUCAUAUACACUGUAUUGUUUCUCCAGUUAGAUUCUCAGGCUUCCAUAAAGAUUAUUUUAUGCAUUUCCCUAUUACUUAAAAAUCAGCUCAUUGCAAGUAUGUGCUUUUAUUAUCCAGCAAACAAAUAUUUGCUAGAUAGGUUAAUUAGUAAGUAGAUGAAAAAAAUAAUUCAUUUUUUCUCUUUUCAUGUUAUUAUUAAUUUUUAAAUUAAUUAUUUUAUUUAUUUACAUCCCAAAUGUUGCCCUCCUUCCAGUACCCCCUCCCAGAGUUCAAUUUCUUUAAAAAGGGGGAAGGCAGAAAAGGGGGAAGAGGAAGAAGAAAAAGAAAGAGAAAGAAAGGAGAGAAAAAAGUGGAGGAAGAGG